UGAGGAAUAUUGGACAAUGGGCGCAAGCCUGAUCCAGCCAUGCCGCGUGCAGGAUGACGGUCCUAUGGAUUGUAAACUGCUUUUGUACAGGAAGAAACAGUUCUACGUGUAGAACCUUGACGGUACUGUAAGAAUAAGGAUCGGCUAACUCCGUGCCAGCAGCCGCGGUAAUACGGAGGAUCCAAGCGUUAUCCGGAAUCAUUGGGUUUAAAGGGUCCGUAGGCGGUUAGAUAAGUCAGUGGUGAAAGCCCAUCGCUCAACGGUGGAACGGCCAUUGAUACUGUCUGACUUGAAUUAUUAGGAAGUAACUAGAAUAUGUAGUGUAGCGGUGAAAUGCUUAGAGAUUACAUGGAAUACCAAUUGCGAAGGCAGGUUACUACUAAUGGAUUGACGCUGAUGGACGAAAGCGUGGGGAGCAAACCGGAUUAGAUACCCCCGUAGUCCCUGAGCGGGCUGGCAAGGCGCAU
This 467-nucleotide ribosomal RNA is filed under the name uncultured bacterium. Its description in RNAcentral is "bacterial SSU rRNA". It matches the Rfam family "Bacterial small subunit ribosomal RNA", at positions 355 to 825 of the family's 1533-position model. The record is from RNAcentral.